Lolium perenne is the source of this 943-nucleotide long non-coding RNA. RefSeq lists it as uncharacterized. The record is from RefSeq and is a predicted model, not a curated record. Lineage: Eukaryota; Viridiplantae; Streptophyta; Magnoliopsida; Poales; Poaceae.
AUGAUUUUUCGAGAGGCAUCCUGCAGAGAGAGUGUUCACCGUCCUAUAAAAGUAGACGAGUGUCGCAAAGCUCGUCCAAGUUCCAACCUGGGCCGCGAGCAAUUGACUAGUGCAAAACCACGAACGCAACUGGCAAGAUCGUCACUGCUAGCUAUGGACAACCAGCCACCGCAACCGCCACCUGCAAAGCCAACGGCGCCACCUGCAGAGCCAGCUGAGUCGAUGUCUCUCUCCCUCCUUAGGUGCAAUACACCACGACUACUGCACAUAUGUCGCGAAGCGAUGAAUUCCAGUCUAGGUGAACCAUGAAACCACAUUCCCAGUCUAGGUGCUUUCUCGUUCCUUAAGGGGUGGAAGCCCGGUUGGAAAAAAGCCACUAGGAGCACCAAGCAGAUGUGGUUGGGUGCUAGUGGCCGCUAUGGAAAUGGAUCAGCGUCUUUUGGGUUGGUCCAUGGAAGCUACUAGGAGGACUUCAAGCUAAUCCUCACUCGCCGCUCCACACGUGGGCGUUGCAUGACCCUGAAGAAACAAAUAUGUGGCCAUGACUCUCUAGUGGGAGCCGAGUAUAUGUCAUUCGUGUGGUGAACAAUUACAAUUAAAUAUUAAUCCUACUACCUCCGUUCUAAUGAAUAAAGUUUUAUAUUGUUUUUUAAAAGUUAAUCGAAGCAAAAUUUAAUAAAUCUUUUUAAAAAUAUAUCAACAAAUAUGAUAUUCAAUGGAUAUCAUAUAAAAAUAUAUUACAUGAUGUUUCUUAUAAUAUUGAUAUUGUAUGUUACAUGUUCAUGAUUUUUUAUGAACUUGGUGAAACUUUAAAUGGUUUGCUUUUCAAAAAUAAUAUAAGCCUUAAUCAUUGGAAUUGGAGGUAGUAGUAGAUUGUAUCUUUCAUUAUCUGUUUUGUAAGCUACGUCUGUACCUAAUAAUAAAUAAAGGGUUGUUUCUUCUA